RNAcentral lists this unclassified non-coding RNA (147 nucleotides) under soil metagenome. RNAcentral describes it as "partial internal transcribed spacer 1". The record is from RNAcentral.
CCGAGUUUACAACUCCCAAACCCCUGUGAACAUACCACUUGUUGCCUCGGCGGAUCAGCCCGCUCCCGGUAAAACGGGACGGCCCGCCAGAGGACCCCUAAACUCUGUUUCUGUAUGUAACUUCUGAGUAAAACCAUAAAUAAAUCA